This 23-nucleotide unclassified non-coding RNA is filed under the name Mus musculus (house mouse). Its description in RNAcentral is "oocyte_clustered_small_RNA6716". The record is from RNAcentral. Lineage: Eukaryota; Metazoa; Chordata; Mammalia; Rodentia; Muridae.
UUUGGUGAUGAACAGCAGCAUGA